Molecule: ribosomal RNA, 497 nt
Filed under: uncultured bacterium
Lineage: Bacteria
Description: partial 16S ribosomal RNA
Rfam family: Bacterial small subunit ribosomal RNA
Source: RNAcentral
GAUGAACGCUGGCGGCGUGCCUAAUACAUGCAAGUCGAGCGAACAGACGAGGAGCUUGCUCCUCUAACGUUAGCGGCGGACGGGUGAGUAACACGUGGAUAACCUACCUAUAAGACUGGGAUAACUUCGGGAAACCGGAGCUAAUACCGGAUAAUAUAUUGAACCGCAUGGUUCAAUAGUGAAAGACGGUUUUGCUGUCACUUAUAGAUGGAUCCGCGCCGCAUUAGCUAGUUGGUAAGGUAACAGCUUACCAAGGCAACGAUGCGUAGCCGACCUGAGAGGGUGAUCGGCCACACUGGAACUGAGACACGGUCCAGACUCCUACGGGAGGCAGCAGUAGGGAAUCUUCCGCAAUGGGCGAAAGCCUGACGGGGCAACGCCGCGUGAGUGAUGAAGGUCUUCGGAUCGUAAAACUCUGUUAUUAGGGAAGAACAAAUGUGUAAGUAACUAUGCACGUCUUGACGGUACCUAAUCAGAAAGCCACGGCUAACUACGUG